CAAAAACAUAGCCAAGUGUAAAUACUCUUGGUAAUUUCUGCUCAAUGAUAUUUAAAUAGCCGCAGUACCCUGACUGUGCAAAGGUAGCAUAAUCAAUUGACUUUUAAUUAAAGCCUGGCAUGAACGAAUAUACGAGAGAUUAGCUUUAUCAAUAAUAUAAUAAAAAUUUACUUAGUAAGUGAAAAUUCUUACUGUGUUAUAUAAGACGAGAAGACCCUAGAAAUUUGAUUACUUGUUUUGUUGGGGCAACAUAGUGGCAAAAUAACCUACUAACUAUACGGGAAGUUUUCUGUAAGAUAAAAUUACUCUAGGGAUAACAGCAUAAUACUAAAGUGUUUGUGACCUCGAUGUUGGAUUAGGAAGUAGUAGUUUAGAAAAUAAGCUUUACGCUCUGUUC
Molecule: ribosomal RNA, 397 nt
Filed under: Gloreugenia coxeni
Lineage: Eukaryota; Metazoa; Mollusca; Gastropoda; Stylommatophora; Camaenidae
Description: partial 16S ribosomal RNA
Rfam family: Archaeal large subunit ribosomal RNA
Source: RNAcentral